UGGGAUAUCCAGCAUCAACUGCUCAUGCAACGGGCAAUGAAAUAUUAAAAUUUCCAGCAAUUUAGAAGAAAUUGUGACUCUGCAUAGUUCAAGGCUAAUUAAUUUAUCAAAACCUUGAAAAGCCCAUGGAUGAUGUAUUGAGCAAUUAUGAAGGUUUAGACACCUCAGCUGCAAACACAUGAAAAGUGAAAAAGGCAAUUUUGUAUAUCUUUCUAAAUGGAA
This 222-nucleotide unclassified non-coding RNA is filed under the name Hevea brasiliensis (rubber tree). Lineage: Eukaryota; Viridiplantae; Streptophyta; Magnoliopsida; Malpighiales; Euphorbiaceae. The record is from RNAcentral.